AUUUGGGAACUCCCUGUCUCCAGACCGCACAGGCAAGAUGAUCUGACUGGAAACAGAAGAGAAUCCUAGGGAAGCCAAGGAGGGAAAGACCUGCACCAUGAUGUUCCUGCAGGGUCCACCUUCCCUGCUCCUACGCUGGGUCUAAACCCAAGACUGGGGUUGGGGAGGCAGCUCCCAGAGCAGAGAGGAGUACUCCCCAACACACACUCCUCCCUGGAGCGGGCCUGGGCAGCACCAGGACACUGGAGCUUGGCCUCUUCCAGCCCUGCUACCGCUGGGAAGGAGACACAAGGCAGAGGCCACAGACAACCCAGCGGAAGGCUCCCUGCAGGCUUGUCCGAGUGAGGCCCAGGGAGCUGCUGACUGACUCGAAGGUGACCUUCGGCUGGAAUGAGGAGGCCGUGGCACUGACCUAUUCAGGGACUGAUGACAGAGGACCAGAGGUGACUGGGUGACUCAGGAAAUGCCUGCAUUAUUAGCUCAGUCUCCACACAGUUUUUCCAAGGCUGAAGCGUGCUGUCACUUACCAACCUGUCUGCUAAGCAGCUGAGGUCCCGGUAUCAGAGGCCCCAGAUUCAUUCCAUUUGAGGCCUGGACUCCUUGCUGAUUCCAUGUUACCGGCAGGGACAUUGGGCGUCAAACCACUGGGGAAUGUUUCAUCUUUGUUGCUAAAAGUUUUUCUUUCCAACUUCUGUGAACUGAUCAGUUUCCUGGAGGCCAAAAAGAGCUCCCAAGACACUUACAGCACCUUUCCAAGCUCUGAGGCCUUCAUGCUGGCUGCCUCUCUGAAGAAAACAGAUAAGAGGAAGUCUCCUUGGAAACAAGGCAGCAGCCCAAAGGAAACCCGUGCCCCAGGGGGCCCUGCAGAGCACAGAGACAACAUCCUUUGUCUCUAAGGAGGCAGGUAACACAGAGAAGAGAAGUGGCCCAGGACACACAGGGCUGCAGGAACUAGUCCUGAUAACAGGGAAUGCACAGGGCGCAUUACAGGCCGGGCACGUGACUAGCAUUUUCCCCUUAGCCUUUCAGCAAUCUCAUAAGGGAGAGGAUGCUCUAUCCAUUUUAAAGAUAAAAUGCAGGCAGUUAAGUGACUCAACCAGGGCCACAGCUGCUAGGACUUGGUGGAGCUGGGAUUUGAGCCCACACACCUGAGUCAGAAGCCUGCUUCCAUUUCCCCUGUGGCUCUCAAUGGGGCUGCAUCCCCCCCUAGGGGGCUGUUUUGGAAGUUUGUAGUUUGUCACAAACACUGGAAGGCCAACAACUCCUGGGACAGCCCCCAACAAAGAAUGGUUCCAUGCCCCUCAGUGGUUCAAUGGUUCCAUGCCCCUCAGUGGUUCAAGGGUUCCAUGCCCC
This is a long non-coding RNA of Diceros bicornis minor, 1353 nucleotides long. RefSeq lists it as uncharacterized. The record is from RefSeq and is a predicted model, not a curated record. The transcript is spliced from 3 exons. NCBI's taxonomy places the organism in Eukaryota, Metazoa, Chordata, Mammalia, Perissodactyla, Rhinocerotidae.